UUUGGCUGUGGAAGGAAAAGAAGGAAAUGCUGUGAUGUGUGUUUUAUAUGAAUGCCCUGAUUAUCAUCUGCACACUCCACGUUUACUUAGUGGUGUUGAAGAACCUGAAAAGAUGAUAACUGAAGCAGACAUUACAAAGACAGAGUUAUGGCAUGAAUAUGACGGUGCACAGCCCAGAAAUAGGUAAAAAUUAA
Telopea speciosissima is the source of this 194-nucleotide long non-coding RNA. RefSeq lists it as uncharacterized. Lineage: Eukaryota; Viridiplantae; Streptophyta; Magnoliopsida; Proteales; Proteaceae. The record is from RefSeq and is a predicted model, not a curated record. The transcript is spliced from 3 exons.